This is a long non-coding RNA of Gasterosteus aculeatus aculeatus (three-spined stickleback), 8153 nucleotides long. The record is from Ensembl. NCBI's taxonomy places the organism in Eukaryota, Metazoa, Chordata, Actinopteri, Perciformes, Gasterosteidae.
GUGAGUGACUGGACUCAAUAUAUAGUUCGAUAACAAUUAGACAUAACGAGCUUGAAGUUACGUGUCGAUGUCGAAAGGUGUUCUUAUGCUAAGAAAAAAUAAGUUAGCACGAGCGCUAAGCUAACAUUAGCUAACGUUACCUGCUUAGCUUCGUCAUUGUGUUACACACACUGUAACAUCGCGUUAAGCUAAAUAGCAAAAUGCUGGUCACAUUCAUGAAAACUGGUUAGUUCAAAUCUGAAAAGCAGUCAGCAGCUAGCUUACUGAACUGCUUAUUUUUUCUUUUUUAAAAGAAAUAUAUAACGUCAUGUUUCUAAUAUCGAUUUUCUAAUGUAAUACUCAAUACAAAGGGAAUAUGUAUGGCUGUUAUACUAUGUAUUACUCUUUUGGAUGUGUUAUUUUUACUGUGUUAUAAUUAUGUCAUAGAGUGCUUGAUAUUCCAUAUAUAGCUCAGUACAAACGUAACUUGACCAGGUACGAUGCGCUGUGGGUGACUCCAAGGUAACAUGACGUCACUUUGCUUUCCCAAUAUGCCUCCUUGUAACAAUUAAUAUAACCUAGUACAGAGAGGACCUCUUUCAAAGAGCACAUUUAGACUCGCCGCAGAAGGAAAAGCACAUUAUGAAUUCAUGGCGCUGAGCUUUGCUUUCAGCUGUGGAGCCUCUUGCUCUUGGUCACGCUCACACGGCUUACUGGGAGAGUUUAGUAAAACAGUAUGAGUUGUGAUUACAGGUUAAGAUGUCUGAUGUGAAUGGGGAUUGUUCUUUGAAACAAAGCUGGCAUUGUCAGAAACACGCACAGUAAUUCAUUUGUUUUACAUUUGGUUGUUAAUGUAGGAAGGCAACAUAAGCCAUCUGUAUUCUGUAUCGUGAUUCAGCAUCAUGCUGCGUAUCAGUCUGUUCUGCUAUUGGAAACGCACCUGCUGAAUAUUACGGUGUUGUGGUAUGCUGUGCGAUUACGCCCAGAUGAGUGUCUAUAGCUCCUACACAACAGAAUAAAUGGGCUAUUAUGGUAAUGCCGUAAGCAAUAUGAAUUAUAGCACAGGAGGUACAAAAGACAAUCUCUGACUAUUUCCCAUCACUUGGUUGAAUUCAUUUUCAAAGCCUUUCUUAAUUUGAAAUAGAUUACCUUAAAAAUGUUAUCUACCAAAAUAAUAUAAUGCAAUACGAACCUCCUUGGCAUGAUAUCAUUGUUGUAAUAGAGUAACACCUGUCAUUGUUCUCACUCAAAUUGUUUUUAUUCUCAGGUAUUUUAGAUGAGAGAAAAUGGAUACAAUCACACAAGAAGAUUACAGUCCAAACACUGAGAGUGAGCUUACUUCACCAUUUCCCCCCAAACGGCCGAGGACAGACUGUACACACAACAACGGUGGCAAAAGCAGUUUUGCAUUUCCGGAACUUGUGACGUUUUGGAAAACCGUCGGCUCCUCAUCAUCGACAAGUACCUGGCAGGAAAAUGCAGGUUUACUACGCGCAGCAGAAGGUGGUGAUAUGGAAGAGCAACUACAAGACGCUCCAUUUAUUGUCAUUCCUAUUGCGAGCUUGACUACGUCACACACUGGAUCGUCUGACGUCAGCUCAAUCUCUGCAGAGAGAUGCUUCAAACUUCUGGUGAGAGAUGAGCAGCCUCCAAUCCCUCCAACCGACAAACUCAGCUCCACCGUGCCAGAUGAUGAAGAUCGGGCUGUAGCAGAGACCUGCACUUCGAAAGAAGGCAACGCUGAUACGUCCAGUCAGCCUGAUAGCAAACUGCUGGGGGAAGCGUGUGAAGACGAGGCGCUUGGAAAUAACAGCGCUGGAGCACUGGUGCAGAAUAGUGCCAGUCAAAUCCAAGCAUUGCAGGUCAGUUCAAGCGACUAUGGGCUCAGAUAUCAGUCUGGUUGCACUUCUGAAAAUGAAAGUAAUCAGGAGUGGCAAGAGCCUGGAUUCACAGAGACUAUCGUAUUCAGCGAGGAAGAUACAGUCUUAUAUCUUUCACUGAUUCUUUCUACUCAAACCCACAACGCUCAGGGAACUUAGCACAGAUUUGUGAAAAUAUUGCUAUAUGUAAGCAGGAAACAGAAGACCAAGUCAAUGAGAAUUGCACGAGCAUGAACUCCCCAUGAACCAGAAGGAUCAAUUGUUUCUUAUGAUGUUGUUUCACUCAGAAACAUUCCAAUUGAGAGGUUGAGUCUUGAUGCUGAUGACUUCUGUGGGGAAAAAGGAGAAGAGGCUGGUGCUAAGAUGAUAGCCCGAGCUCAGAGCAAAACGUCUGAUCACACGACAGGGACUCCCGUGCCUGCACAAAUCUGUCAAGGGCCUGCUGAAGGAGAUAAUGAUGCAAGUCCUUUCGCUGUAAUUGAACCUGCAAUCUGGAGUGAAACUGACAGGGAGGAAGAGAAGAGCUGCAACUCAGGGAGCGCUGCCGCCGGUGUACAAUCACUUCCAUCAGUAAAAGUCUGCACCAUGGAAACCCCUCUCCCCCUCUGCGCCCACGUCCGGCUAUCAAAGGAGGUUUUAACCCUCAACCAGAAUGGAAAGUCAGAUCACCAAAGCCUUACGCAGCAGCGCGAAGAUGGAAAAGAGGACUUAUGUCAGUCAUUCACUGAACCACUGGCUGGUUCUAUCACCACCAACGAAACACACAACAACAGCAGCUGUCACGGGGAAACCGGAGUCAGCCAUGAUACUGUGGGGCAUCAGUUGAAAGAGUCAGAUCGGUCCGGCUGUUUUCAUGUCAGUCCUGAACGAAUGAAGACAAAGGAGGUUGAAUAUUUACAGGCUGAAAUCACCAGAACGGACGGGACAACUGAGAUAAAAGAAAACGGAGGAAUGACAAGUUUUGAAGAAGAAAUAAGAACCGGUGAGCAACCAGAAAACUCCCAGGACACAGAAGAAGCAACGGAAACAUCAUCUGGUAAUUCCAUCAGGCACCGGACCGAAGGCAAAACUAGUAAAUAUGACGACAAACUAACACAUGUGGAUGACGCGUUGAAAAAUAUACUUGGAUUUCUGUCUGAUCACCCCUACAAUGCUGUGAUUUUACCAACGGAAGAAGCAGCGGGUGAAGAGGAAAGAAAAGAAGAGGCAAGUGUGGGUGCAGAACGCGACAUGUACGGUAGCUCGGAGAUAGUUGUGGAACGGGAGAAGGAAGACAUGCCUGAGGAAUGGAUCAGUGAACGGACAGAGGGACACAAUUUAACCCUGGGGAGUCAACGUGAACAAGAACACAAGCUCAGUUGUGUCUCGGACUUUCAACACACAGCUGAGACAUACGUGGUUGAUAAUAGAGAUGACCCUUCGACCUUGACUGCCUUCCCCUUCAACGGACGUCUGCCAGGAGGAAUUGACACGUUCGAAAGGAUCCAACUCUCCCUGGAUGGUGAUGAAGACGGCCUGAGCGAGAGCCUUCUCCUCAGCAGCCUACCUGAGCAGCUGCUGACAUCACCUCAGCAACAGCUCCAUAAGCACGAGGAGGUACCGCAGGAGGAAGAGGAGGAAACAUCUGGUCGUCACCCUGAGAACAAGGCAAAGGGCUUUUCAGGCAUCUAUAGCAUGUGUAAUGAAGUCCCCGACUGGAUCUCAGCAGCAGCAGAAGACAUCGCUCUCGUACGUCCAGAGCAACCGGCAAACUGUGGGAGGACUCACAACUCCCCCGAGUGCUUCCAGGGCGACUUCCAGUCCAGUGUUCCCCCCAGCAGCGAGGGUCCAGCCUCUGACGUAGACGACAGUCUGACCUUUGAGAAGAAAGAGCUGUUCAACAAGGUCUUGAAAGAGCUGAACCUGUUUUUUAGCAUCAGCACAAGUGAUUUCACAAGAGACAGCGGUGCAUCGUCCUCUGAGCAGUGUGUUCGUGUGUCUGGAGCCUCGGAUCGAGACAACUGCAAAGAAGAUCUCAGCAUCGCAAAACUAGGAUGCUAUGGAGACCCAUCGCCAGACUCCGGCCUGGAAAUGUGUGCUGGGGAUCCAGAUGUUUCUCCUACCUGUGAAGGCGAGCAGGAGGUUCCCCUCGGCAGCCAUCUGUGCACCGAGGAGACUCACAAAGAGCCCCCGCAGAGGAAGAGAUGGUCUCCGUCCUUCCCGGGUCCCCCUCUCCUGGAACAACUGGGCUACAGACAGCCGGAGCAGACGAGGCGGCUGGAGCCUCUGCGAACAUGCAACCGGCCCAUCCGGGUCGGACUCUCAAAGAGAGCCAAGACCAAACACCUGCACCCCCCGCCCUGCCGGGGGGCUUCGCUGCCUUAAACAGGACGGAGCGACGAGUGAUGGCUGUUCAUGUGUUGUGUUCUCUGCUUCAUCGCUCUCCAGGCUCCGGUUCCUGCUUCUUUAUUCAGGUUAUACGCUAAUAAGCCAGAUGCUGCUGCCAAGUAAGGAAUCCUGCUCUGUGUCCACAUUGUCCCUGCUCAAAGUAGUAUUCUAGUUUUCAUAUCUUCCCCAAUUUUUAUGCACUGAUCUAUUUAUAUAUUUAUGUAUUUAUUGGCUUUCUUUCAACCCAGAUUAGGGUUGAAAAAAGCACAUAUAUGUUAUUAGGGCAAAACUCAAUUCCUAGUUCUUUGAAUUAGUUGUGACGUGUAAUCGUUUGCUCUCUGCUGUAACGUCUUCUCUGUGCAACGUGUUCCGUGGAACGUCACUGCGAGUUGAAUGUGAAAAUAACCAGUUCCCCAUUCAAUUAAAUACUGUACUUGCAUACAAACGUGUUUUUAAUAUAUAUAUAUACACACACAUGACUCUUUUGGCAACACAUGAAUUAACAUCAAUGAGCUGGUUCCAAAUGAACGUCUCCAGUCGCUGCUCGGGCUCCGAGGCGGUCCGGCUGAGCUCCCAGGUGGACGAUGGACUCAGCUGUUGUGUCCUUGUUUGACACAUCUGUAGCGCGGGAUGGAGUUCUGCACUCUGCACGUCUACCGCCCUCCUGCAGGGGGGGUCAGUGCCGGUCUGCCUCAGGGAUCCUAAGCAGCUCUUCAAAGGCUUCAAGGCCGUUCCACAGAGACUGCUCUCCUUGCUGUCUCAGAGCAUCUCCACACUGCUAGAGCUCCUGUCUCUCCUCUGUCCUCAUCCUUCUGGACCUCUCUGCUGCAUUUGACACAGUCAACCACCAGAUACUUAUCUCCUCCCUUCAAGAAACUUGGUGUCUCAGGCUCUGCUCUCUCCCUUCUCUCGUCCUACCUCGACGGCCGCACCUACCGGGUAACCUAGCGAGGAUCUGUGUCGGAACCUUGUCAUCUUACUACUGGAGUUCCUCAGGGUUCCGUCCUGGGUCCCCUCCUCUUCUCGCUCUACACCAACUCUCUCGGCGCUGUCAUUCGCUCGCAUGGCUUCUCCAACCACAGCUACGCCGAUGACACCCAACUAAUUCUCCACCAACUCUCCCUGACCCCCAACAUUACAGCAACAAUACGAUCCUUUAGAUACUCGCUCUACAACAUCAGGAGAAUACGUCCUCUCCUCACUCAGAAGGCGGCGCAGAUCUACAGUCUGAGGCCAUUGUUAUAAAGAGAGAGCCAAUGGAGUUAAUGCGUUUUUCCUUUUUUCUCAAAUCCAACGUGGGCGGAUGCGUGGUGGUCCGGUCUGAAUCGCUGCUGCCUGCUCAGAGCCCACGAUGCCUCCAGGAUGCACUCUGUUCGCUAUCGACUUUCUUUACUCAGCCACUUUGUCCAGCAUAUGAUAUGAUCAGUUCAUCCUGGCUGUAAACAUUUCUGGUAGUCGGCCUUGUUGGGACCUUUUGUGUGGAGCAAAUUGCUUUUUGAAAGUUUUGGUUUUUGUUACCUUGUUGGCUACAAAAUAAAAGCCUCCGGCUUUGUUUCAUAUUCACGUCUUUUUGAGAUGCCAAGUAGGCUCCUUGAUGACUGCAGGAGGGACUGAAGCUAAAAGUCUGCCUGUACGUGCUCACUGAUUGGCUACACGCGUUAUACAAAGACUGCUGUGUCCUCACCUUUGCUCCGUCCCACAGUCCCCUGCAGGUGGUCCCGGGGGACAGUGAUGGUGACCAAAGGUUUGACCUCUGCAGGAGAAUUUGUCAAUGCGCUGACCUGAGGUCAGCCGUCUCCGGGCCUGCAGGGUUCGGCUGGUUUGUCACUGAGGGAAUCCUCCAGAAGCAGCCACACGUCCUCAGAAGCAUGUUGAUGUUUUUAGAAUCAACGCACGUCUCGACACAGAGGCUGAUAAACCGCUGUGAAAUACCAGGGAAAAUAGAGACAGUGCUACCGCCACGUUAUAUUAAUACUAUGGAUUGUGAGGUGGGAGACAAAUGUGGUUGAUGACCAGAGAAAGUAUCAACGCACUGAGAACAGAAAAGAGUGGACCGUUCUAAUCUUUGAACAUGUUCAACAGAUCGAUGCGGUUCACACUGUAAUGUGACGUAAUGCAGAGAGUUAAACUGAGAUUUAGAUGUUCCCCUCCUUUUUCCCUCCCUCCUUUUUCCCUCCCUCCUUUUUCCCUCCCUCCUGCCCAGACAGACGACCAGGAGGGAACCGCUGCUGCAAUGCAGCAAAACAAAUUGUGAGAAUCUAUUAAGCUUUUGUGAUUGUCUCCUUGUUUGUCUUUGUGGCUCCGUCGGGGUUCGACAUGAAAGACGCUCCGAGUAGUGGAAGAUAAAAUCAACAUGCAGCGUAUUUUCACUUCAUGUGUCUUUAGUUGGUCAUAAAGGGAUCUGAAGGCCAUCAUUUAAUUGUUCUGGACACCAUUUCAAACCGGUGCGAUGUGACUUCAGCUGCCGUCCACACGAAGGUCGUCCUUUGCUCACGUCGGCCACCUGCAGCGUCCACGAGGGUUGUUGCACAAACAACGCUGAAUGCAAUGCAGACAAAGACGUCUGUGGCUCACUGGACAGGGAAAAUAAAGCGCGAUGUCCUUCACCCUUUCCACAGGGCACAUGGUGAUGGGACUAAUGGACGGCUCCAAAGUGCUUUGGGUUCAGGGUGACAGGUUCAGACUCUCCUUAUUCUUUGUAAAACCGAACACGUUGCAGCUCCAGGACAAUGUUUCACACUGCGUGUCUGCUUGUGAACAUAACUAAACACUAAAAUAAGAGUAAAUUAACCCUAAAAACACAAGUAAACAUUUCAAGCAGUUAAGAAGCCACUAAAAUGACUCAAUAUGUCGCACACAGAGUCGAGGACAUCGAUCGAGGGAGCGUCUCCUGGUAUCCUGGGUCCCGGACUGUGAUCUCUACCAGGUGGUUGCUGGCUUGUUACAAAAUGAGCACAAGCAAUUACUUGGCGCCCACAUUAAGUGGCACCGUUUACCACAUCGUUUAAACCACGAAGGCCGUUGGAGGCAAACAGGCACAACUACUAUUGUACGAGCUGCACAGUGAUUAUUCACUCAGUGGGGCAACACGCUUCCGUCUCCGGGCUGCGUUUCAGCGCGUGAGGGAUGGAUGGAGGGUGAGGCACUGUUCAUCUGAGGUUGUCGUGGUCGGUGGUGAAUAAGAGUAGAUGGCACACGGCCUGUUACCAUGGCAACGAGUCCCACGUUGACGGGCGGAGUGAAAUGAAUUCCAGUUAUUCUCUCGUUUUUAACAUGUAAAUUCCUCUCCCUCGUUUUUCCUCGGCUCCUCUUACUCACAUGUAUAUAUAUAUAAUAAUAAUAUAAUAUUAUAUAAGUGUGUGUGACGCGCUGAUGGCUGAUGAUUCAGGAGGAGAAUUGAUGCUUAUGUUCAGCUAACACGUUGUGUUUAGCCGCUGGAUGCAAUCACUCAGCAGCUCGACUCAACUAUUGUCAUGGAUUAUUUGUUGUGUAAUAAAUAAAACAACAUUUAAAAGUUCCUCUGGAUCUGUGGUUUUGAUUUAGGAUUUAACUGGCUUAUAUUUCCAGACGAAUUACAUAUCGGAGGGAGGCUGAAAUACAGUACGUGUAGAUAAUACACUAAUUGGAUAACUAUACAAAGGUUAGUUUUAAUUCAUCAUCUGUAUUAAUGAUCUAAAUUAGAGAUAAAUAGUUUUAAAAACUCAGAUCGUAGGCCCGGUAAUGAUUGCUGAUCCAAUACAUAAUGUAGAUAUGUUAAUAUGGCACAAGGCCUGUGUAGCCUGUGUAGUCUGAGACACAAUAAAUGACUCAUGUGCCUUGAUGUAAAACGUAAUAUCUAAUAAGAGCAGCAGGAGGGACAGAAGUUUAACUAAACAGGGAUGUAACAUUCUGCACAUGGCUGCAGAAAUCAACACAACAGGAAUCCCU